UCAUCAUCCAAUAAAAAAUAAAAGUAUAGAGUCAUCAAGUUGAAAGUUGUUCUUCAUCUUCCUUUUAUUUUCCUCUCUAAAAUUAUGAGUGGUUCUCAAAAAUGUUGUAGUGUCUUUGAAGUGUAAAUAUAAUACGAUCUGCAGGAAGAAGAUUUCUUCCGAUCUCCGGUGAUGAAACUUCCAACGAAUUUCGACCAUCUCUUGGAUCGAGCAAAAAGUAUAUCAACGUAGAAGAAACUUAAUUGGCAAGGAAGAAAGAAUAAGGUGUACCAAAACUUGCGAUGGCCCAACCUGAGCAUAAAGCUCCCCCGCCACCUCUUCGACACAAGGAGCCAUUCUCAAAUCAUCAUUAUGCACUAGCUCGAACAGGUGGGAGAACAGUAUAGAUCGUGGAAGCGGCCCCGACCUCCGGCUUCACAUUGGUGGUUGUUACUUCAUCAAUCAUCAAAGGAGAAGAGGAAGCCUAAUCGGCUGCAGAAAUCAUCAUCCAAGGCAGCUCAACCUGAUGCAAAGCUGAAUCCUUCCCCACUGCCAAAUGCUCCCAUAGCCGGAGCUUCUCCCAGUGGGAAGAGGAAGCUGGGUCGGCCACAGAAAUUAUCCUCUGACAAAAUUCAAUCCCGAGAUUCCCCGGCGUAGCCACCCAAAGCUUCAGGCGAUGCUUCGGUGGCUGCCAAGUGGAAGCCCAGCCACCCACCUAGAAGCACCACCAAGAAACCAAAUGAAACCGGGAGCAAGAAACAAGGUCGCCCAAAGAAGCAGGACAUUCUGGCACCUUUAGUAGAGGGAAUAUUGACUGCGGCAUCAAAGCCGAAAUGGUGAGGGCGACCUCCUGAGAAGGCGGAUUUAGAACCACCCACUCCGAAGGUGAACCAAUCCUCUCUGAGCUAAUCCAUUAGAACUAGUAUGAUUCUAUUUCUGUUCUCAGUUUGCAAAGACAGACACGAGGUGGAUGUUAGCAGACAGCUUUGCUGCUCCAUUUUGUUCUUGUGUAGCUUGCCAAGUUCUUAGUUUGGUAGGUCUCAAGGAGAAUUGCUUGUUUGAUUGCUCAAACUAAUUCACAAUUUAGAUGGGAAAGCUUGACUUCAUUAGGUUGCCAAUUGUUGUGAAAUUUACAAGUAUUGUAUUGAACCUUUCAUCUUCUAAUU
Long non-coding RNA from Zingiber officinale, 1145 nucleotides. RefSeq lists it as uncharacterized. The transcript is spliced from 2 exons. The record is from RefSeq and is a predicted model, not a curated record. Lineage: Eukaryota; Viridiplantae; Streptophyta; Magnoliopsida; Zingiberales; Zingiberaceae.